This 952-nucleotide ribosomal RNA is filed under the name Jimgerdemannia flammicorona. RNAcentral's name for it is "eukaryotic LSU rRNA". It matches the Rfam family "Eukaryotic large subunit ribosomal RNA", at positions 38 to 894 of the family's 3401-position model. The record is from RNAcentral. Lineage: Eukaryota; Fungi; Mucoromycota; Endogonomycetes; Endogonales; Endogonaceae.
GCAUAUCAAUAAGCGGAGGAAAAGAAACUAACAAGGAUUCCCCUAGUAACGGCGAGUGAAGCGGGAAAAGCUCAAAUUUAAAAUCUGGCAGGUUAUCCUGUCCGAGUUGUAGUUUCAAGAAGCGUUUUCGGUGCGCGUCUGGGUAUAAGUUCUUUGGAACAGGACAUCAUAGAGGGUGAGAAUCCCGUUUAUGACCCGGAACAGCGUACUAUGUGAUACGUUUUCUAAGAGUCAGGUUGUUUGGGAAUGCAGCCUAAAAUGGGUGGUAAAUUUCAUCUAAAGCUAAAUAUUGGCGAGAGACCGAUAGCGAACAAGUACCGUGAGGGAAAGAUGAAAAGAACUUUGAAAAGAGAGUUAAACAGUACGUGAAAUUGUUGAAAGGGAAACGUUUGAAAUCAGUCGUGCGGGCGGGUAAUCAGCUUGGCCUUUGGGUCUUGUGCACUUACUCGUCUCGCAGGCCAGCGUCGGUUUUGUUUGCCGGAUAAAUGCCAAUGGAAUGUAGCUCAACCUUUUACGAGGAGGGGUGUUAUAGCCCUGGUAAAUACGGCGGUCGAGACCGAGGUCUGCAGUUGAUGCCUCUCGGGGCUGGGGACUCCAUCGCUCAUUCGCACCCGCGCCUAGACAGCUUGCUGACUAGGUGUGUGGUCUGUGGGUGACACGGUGGGCUACCACACAUCGACUUGGGUCGCUGGCGUAAUGGUUUUAAAUGACCCGUCUUGAAACACGGACCAAGGAGUCUAACAUAUAUGCGAGUGUUUGGGUGGCAAACUCAUGCGCGUAAUGAAAGUGAAUGUAGGUGAGAUCCUCACGGAGCAUCAUCGACCGAUCUUGAAAUUUUUGGAUGGAUUUGAGUAAGAGCAUAUCUGUUGGGACCCGAAAGAUGGUGAACUAUGCCUGAAUAGGGUGAAGCCAGAGGAAACUCUGGUGGAGGCUCGUAGCGAUUCUGACGUGC